AGUGAACGCUGGCGGUAGGCCUAACACAUGCAAGUCGAACGGCAGCACAGUAAGAGCUUGCUCUUACGGGUGGCGAGUGGCGGACGGGUGAGGAAUACAUCGGAAUCUACUUUUUCGUGGGGGUUAACGUAGGGAAACUUACGCUAAUACCGCAUACGACCUACGGGUGAAAGCAGGGGAUCUUCGCACCUUGCGCGAUUGAAUGAGCCGAUGUCGGAUUAGCUAGUUGGCGGGGUAAAGGCCCACCAAGGCGACGAUCCGUAGCUGGUCUGAGAGGAUGAUCAGCCACACUGGAACGGAGACACGGUCCAGACUCCUACGGGAGGCAGCAGUGGGGAAUAUUGGACAAUGGGCGCAAGCCUGAUCCAGCCAUACCGCGUGGGUGAAGAAGGCCUUCGGGUUGUAAAGCCCUUUUGUUGGGAAAGAAAAGCAGCAGGUUAAUACCCCGCUGUUCUGACGGUACCCAAAGAAUAAGCACCGGCUAACUUCGUG
Molecule: ribosomal RNA, 492 nt
Filed under: uncultured bacterium
Lineage: Bacteria
Description: partial 16S ribosomal RNA
Rfam family: Bacterial small subunit ribosomal RNA
Source: RNAcentral